This 573-nucleotide ribosomal RNA is filed under the name Torulaspora sp. DMKU-SV01. RNAcentral's name for it is "eukaryotic LSU rRNA". It matches the Rfam family "Eukaryotic large subunit ribosomal RNA", at positions 62 to 648 of the family's 3401-position model. The record is from RNAcentral. Lineage: Eukaryota; Fungi; Ascomycota; Saccharomycetes; Saccharomycetales; Saccharomycetaceae. RNAcentral also lists the same sequence under 1 other name.
AAACCAACCGGGAUUGCCUCAGUAACGGCGAGUGAAGCGGCAAAAGCUCAAAUUUGAAAUCUGGUACCUUCGGUGCCCGAGUUGUAAUUUGUAGAAGGUAACUUUGGGGCUGGUCCUUGUCUAUGUUCCUUGGAACAGGACGUCAUAGAGGGUGAGAAUCCCGUGUGGCGAGGAUCCCAGUUCUAUGUAAAGUGCUUUCGAAGAGUCGAGUUGUUUGGGAAUGCAGCUCUAAGUGGGUGGUAAAUUCCAUCUAAAGCUAAAUAUUGGCGAGAGACCGAUAGCGAACAAGUACAGUGAUGGAAAGAUGAAAAGAACUUUGAAAAGAGAGUGAAAAAGUACGUGAAAUUGUUGAAAGGGAAGGGCAUUUGAUCAGACACGGUGUUUUGCGCCCUCUGCUCCUCGUGGGUGGGGGAAUCUCGCAGCUCACUGGGCCAGCAUCAGUUUUGGCGGUAGGAUAAAUCUGCAGGAAUGUAGCUUGCUUCGGCAAGUGUUAUAGCCUGUUGAAAUACUGCCAGCCGGGACUGAGGACUGCGACUUUUAGUCAAGGAUGCUGGCAUAAUGGUUAUAUGCCGC